RNAcentral lists this ribosomal RNA (465 nucleotides) under Hormogaster redii. Its description in RNAcentral is "eukaryotic LSU rRNA". It matches the Rfam family "Eukaryotic large subunit ribosomal RNA", at positions 604 to 978 of the family's 3401-position model. The record is from RNAcentral. Lineage: Eukaryota; Metazoa; Annelida; Clitellata; Crassiclitellata; Hormogastridae.
GGGGGGACUGGUUCCAGUGCCCUCGGACCGCGUGCGUCCAGCGGCGGGACGGCCCGGCGUUGCGCCUGGGGUCGGUGGCGAAACGGCCGGCAACCUGUCCGACCCGUCUUGAAACACGGACCAAGGAGUCUAACAUGUGCGCGAGUCGUUGGGCGUUACGAAACCCGAAGGCGCAAUGAAAGUGAAGGCCCGGUCUCCGACCGGCCCAGGUGGGAUCCGGACGGUCGCGGCCGUCCGGCGCACCACCGGCCCGUCUCGUUCGCCGCGUCGAGGAGGCGGAGCAAGAGCGUACACGUUGGGACCCGAAAGAUGGUGAACUAUGCCUGAGUAGGACGAAGCCAGAGGAAACUCUGGUGGAGGUCCGCAGCGAUUCUGACGUGCAAAUCGAUCGUCAAACUUGGGUAUAGGGGCGAAAGACUAAUCGAACCAUCUAGUAGCUGGUUCCUGUCGAAGUUUCCCUCAGGA